UGGGGGAUAUUGCACAAUGGGGGAAACCCUGAUGCAGCGACGCCGCGUGAGUGAAGAAGUAUUUCGGUAUGUAAAGCUCUAUCAGCAGGGAAGAAAAGGGGCGAAAGUCCGGACAGUACCUGAAUAAGAAGCCCCGGCUAACUACGUGCCAGCAGCCGCGGUAAUACGUAGGGGGCAAGCGUUAUCCGGAUUUACUGGGUGUAAAGGGAGCGUAGACGGUUAUGCAAGUCUGAAGUGAAAGCCCGGGGCCCAACCCCAGGGCACUGCUUUGGAAAUACUGUGGAACUGGAGUACAGGAGGGGCAGGCGGAAUUCCUGGUGUAGCGGUGAAAUGCGUAGAUAUCAGGAGGAACACCGGCGGCGAAGGCGGCCUGCUGGACUGAAACUGACGUUGAGGCUCGAAAGCGUGGGGAGCAAACAGGAUUAGAUACC
This 431-nucleotide ribosomal RNA is filed under the name uncultured bacterium. RNAcentral describes it as "bacterial SSU rRNA". It matches the Rfam family "Bacterial small subunit ribosomal RNA", at positions 355 to 786 of the family's 1533-position model. The record is from RNAcentral.